This 254-nucleotide ribosomal RNA is filed under the name uncultured bacterium. RNAcentral describes it as "partial 16S ribosomal RNA". It matches the Rfam family "Bacterial small subunit ribosomal RNA", at positions 524 to 776 of the family's 1533-position model. The record is from RNAcentral.
UACGUAGGGGGCGAGCGUUUUCCGGAUUUAUUGGGCGUAAAGAGCUCGUAGGCGGCUUGGUAAGUCGGGUGUGAAACCUCCAGGCUCAACCUGGAGCCGCCACUCGAUACUGCCAUGGCUAGAGUCCGGUAGAGGGUCACGGAAUUCCUGGUGUAGCGGUGAAAUGCGCAGAUAUCAGGAGGAACACCGGUGGCGAAGGCGGUGGCCUGGGCCGGUACUGACGCUGAGGAGCGAAAGCGUGGGGAGCAAACAGG